RNAcentral lists this ribosomal RNA (429 nucleotides) under Gemmatimonadota bacterium. RNAcentral describes it as "Gemmatimonadetes bacterium partial 16S ribosomal RNA". It matches the Rfam family "Bacterial small subunit ribosomal RNA", at positions 355 to 776 of the family's 1533-position model. The record is from RNAcentral. Lineage: Bacteria; Pseudomonadati; Gemmatimonadota.
UAGGGAAUCUUCGGCAAUGGACGAAAGUCUGACCGAGCAACGCCGCGUGAGUGAAGAAGGUUUUCGGAUCGUAAAACUCUGUUGUUAGAGAAGAACAAGGACGUUAGUAACUGAACGUCCCCUGACGGUAUCUAACCAGAAAGCCACGGCUAACUACGUGCCAGCAGCCGCGGUAAUACGUAGGUGGCAAGCGUUGUCCGGAUUUAUUGGGCGUAAAGCGAGCGCAGGCGGUUUCUUAAGUCUGAUGUGAAAGCCCCCGGCUCAACCGGGGAGGGUCAUUGGAAACUGGGAGACUUGAGUGCAGAAGAGGAGAGUGGAAUUCCAUGUGUAGCGGUGAAAUGUGUAGAUAUAUGGGGGAACACCAGUGGCGAAGGCGGCUCUCUGGUCUGUAUCUGACGCUGAGGCUCGAAAGCGUGGGGAGCAAACAGG